Long non-coding RNA from Harpia harpyja (harpy eagle), 363 nucleotides. RefSeq lists it as uncharacterized. The transcript has 4 exons. The record is from RefSeq and is a predicted model, not a curated record. NCBI's taxonomy places the organism in Eukaryota, Metazoa, Chordata, Aves, Accipitriformes, Accipitridae.
UUUGAAGUCAGCACAUGACCCCACAUUUGAAUGUGGGGAAGAAACAGGCUUUAAAACUGCACGCUCAGCUAAUCGCAGUGGAGGUAGCCAGGGCACCUCUGCAAAGAGAAGCUGUCUGCAAAGCCGGAGACUGAAACCAGCAACUCUUCACAUAUAAUAGAGGAACUACAAAAGGCUUGUAGGCAGGAAAAUUUUCAAAGACUGAUAGUCAACACAUUUUUUAACUCCCUGGAUACCAAGCAGCUUUAAGAGAAAGGUCUUCUCUGCACCCAGGAAGGCCCUUUUAAGUUCAGCUACUUCCGAUACUUUUCAUCAGCAAGAAUCUCACUCUGGACUCAUGGCUUUGUAACCAACCCUAAGGAG